CCAGAUCAACGUUUUGUCUCAAAGAGUUUUGAGCCGAUUGACUGCUGGAGAACAACAAAUGCAGGGCGAAUCACUCAUUAGUAUCAUGGAGAUUCUUGUUUGGGAUUUCCAUCUCCAUUGUUUAGAUAAAGGUAAGCAAAUCAUGUCAAGUAUUCUCUAAAAUGUAUCCCCAACCAACAAUACAUAUACCAAUGUAUUUUACGCCACAUAAAUCAAAAGUUUUUCUUUGCUUCAUGGCAAUCGUUUUAAAUAUGAGCAGGAAAUGCGUUUCUUAACAUCUAUGUUACAAUCUUCACCAUGACACUACGUGGAAAAUUUGAAACAUGUGAGUAUGAGCACACAAAUAUUUUAGUCUCGUUAAAAUAUUUGUAACCUAUAAUUUUGUAUUUUUGGGUAGACAUUUAGGCAGCAAUCACUCGUUUUGUACACGUACAUACGAUUAUUAUACUAUUAGAAUAACUCCAAUAGAUAACUUACUUUUGAAUGUUCAGGAUUCACAAGGACCAUCAUACCUGAACGAUUGGUUGAUCGUCGUCAACCAAAGGGAACACAGGCAUCCGAAGAUUUGCGUAAAUUGACUGGGGGGGAUUGCUUUUUUCAUCAUGUCAAUGGGAGGAUAUUCAAUGCAUCUGUGUAUGUUAAUGACCCUUUCCUAGGAAUGAUCAUCACGUUAAACAAGCGAUGCAUUCCGUACGAGGACAUUGUCUUAACAGGUUACCAGCAAUCCAGACACACACCUUCGUGUACACCAGAAGAGACAGGUUCAGAGGUUGAAAGCUUUCAACUGUACCUCAGUGAGAGCGGGAAUGAAAGUGAUACAGGCCGUGAUCCAACAUGGACACUUCCCCCCAAGUCUCCGCCAGAGGUUGUUGUCCCUUCCACAAUGGUAAAUAUUACACAGCAAUAACUGUGAAAAUGUACAUGUGAGACGUACAUUUGUUUAAUUUAGAGAUACAAAGGGAGGAUGUCAUUUAAAAUAAGAAAAUAUGUCACUCACGGAAAACUGUUAUAAAUGAAAUAAUCUGGAGGUACAAUGAAGCUCUGAUAGAAUACUAGUAGAUCUUAAAUUGGCAUUAUUCAACUUAGCAACAAUAUUUCAUGCCAAUGUUCCAAUUGGAAUUUAAUACAUAUUGCAUUGAUCAGACAUUAUCUGUCCAUGUAAUCCAUUUGACUUACUUUGACAAUAAUAUCAAUACUAUCUAGCUUCAUAUGCAAGUAUGUAAUUACAUCAGAAAGCGGCCUGUAUAUAUGUCAUAAAUUGAUGUUGACAUGUGUUUACACCUGAACAGACUGGACCCAUGAAACAAAGACACAAAUGAUAACUUACAGUGAAUUCUAUACAGCUGUGAAAAAAUGGCAAUAACUUAUAGACGAACUUAACAUACAAUGUUUUUUCACCAAUGAUAAGCUUUGCAUUUUAUUACGAAUCUUUUUAAUUUCAGGGUACUCGCACGACCAGUAUAAGAAAGAGGAAACGAGAGGUUUGUAGCGUAUACAUUACUGCAUGGUUGUGUGGAUUAUAUUUAGUAACUGUUAUAUAUGAAUUUUCACUUUCUCUUUUCGUUUCUCUGCAAAUGAUGUCCUAAAACAUUUCAUAAUAUAUAUUAAUUUUGUAUCUCAUAGGAUAUGCAGCAAGAGCAAGAGCGAACGAAGAAGGGGACAAAUCCUGCGAAUGAGGUGAAUUUAGGUUUCCUUUCUCAUUACUGUCAGGACUAAUUAUUUUAGUAAAGAAUUUAUCUCGUCUUAUUAACCAGACUUCUGAGACAGUAUGAGCAAGUUGGUAGCUAAGUUAUAACCUGUGUUGCCCGUGUAUGUUGUAUGAUCUAACAAAAUCUUCUUCACAUCAUUAUAGUUCCUGAUUCUUUGAAGAGGACCGGCAUCAGGCCAGUCGACGAAUGCAUCGUCUCCUCGAACUUCCCCACUUGCAUCGCCUGAAACGACCCUAUGCACAUCACGAUCACCACGCCAUGUAUCUACCUCAACAACAGGACUGUCUGACCAUUCCAGUGACGCAGAUAUCGUUACACUGAAACUUGAAGUCGCCAGCCUCAAAAAGGAAAUCCAGGAAUUAGGACUGUUGGUAGAGUCGAUGGUUUCUGACACCACGCCGCCUUCACCAAUAUCAG
RNAcentral lists this long non-coding RNA (2126 nucleotides) under Haliotis rufescens (red abalone). Its description in RNAcentral is "uncharacterized LOC125384159, transcript variant X1". The record is from RNAcentral. Lineage: Eukaryota; Metazoa; Mollusca; Gastropoda; Lepetellida; Haliotidae.